UGGUGCCACACGCGUGCUCCCGGUCUGUCCAUCGGUGUCACAUGUGUGCUCCAUGCCCACUCGGCAGUGCCACGCGCGUGCUCCUGGUCUUCCCACCAGUGCCACACAUAUGCUCCCGGUCUGUUCCUUGGUCCCACGCAUGUGCUGCUUGUCCAUCAGUGCCAUACGUGUGCUCCUGGUCUGUCCAUCAGUGCCACAUGCAUGUUCCAUGCCCACUCAGCAGUGUCACGUGUGUGCUCUUCUCCUGUCUGUUGGUGUCAUAUGUGCUCUCUGACUGUCCAUCAAUGCCACAUAUGUGCUCCUGGUCUGUCUGUUAGUGCCACAUGUGUGCUCCAUGCUCACCCGGCAGUGCCAUGUUUCUGCUUCUGGUCUGUCUGUUGGUGCCACCAGACGUUCCUUGUCAGUCCAUCACUGCCACGCAUGUGAUCCCAGUCUGUCCAUGAGUGCCACACGUGUGCUCCAUCUGUCCAUCGGUCCCUUACCUGUGCUCCCUGUCAGUGACCUGCAUGCUCCCAGUCUGUCCAUCAGUGCCAUAUGUGUGUUUUCUGCCUGUCCAAUUAAUGCCAUGCAUGCAUGCAGUCUGCCCAUUGGGGCCACGUAUGUGCUCCAUGUCCACUCAACAGUGCCAUGCAUGUGCUCCUGCUCUGUCCACCAGUGCCACGUGAGCUUCAUGCCCACCCAGCGGUGCCACACACUUGCUCCAUCCCAAGUCGGGGGCACAGUAGUGGACCAUACGAGGGCUGCCUGCAUGGUCAGCAGUGGUACGGCUGGCAUGAGGAUGUAGGUGCAGGAGCCAGGAGACUGUGGGAACCUGGAAGAGGAAUUUGAUGUGUCAAGGAGUUGUGAGGGCAGUGCUGGAGAUGCUGGGUGUGGCAUCGGAGCAGCCAGGGCACAGCCAGCAGCAGUGCCUCAUGCCAAGGCUGGAGACGGGGGAAGGUGAGGGCGCUUGAUGGCUGAAGGGCAGUUUUGUUCACUGUCCCUUGCCCUGUGCCAGUCACAUGGUGCCCAUCCAAAAGAUCUUGAGGUGGGAAUGGAAUGCUGCAGGAGCUGAGCCAUGGGUUAGCCAUGCCAGAGGGGGUAUGGUGAAACCAGGGGAUGUCUGUGACACUGGAACAUUGGCAUUGCUUAUUGCAACAUGCCACUGUAGAUCAUGUCGACCCUCCCUAUCCCACUGGAUAUGUGGACAGCUCUCAAAACAUUCUCAGUGUCACCGUGCCGUUUGCUCUGGGCCCAACAUGACGCCAUUGGAGAGGGACUUGGGGAACACAGAGGAUCUUCCCUGUUGUGGAAUUUCACCCCAAGGCAUGUUGUACAGGAUGCCUACAGGAACUCACUGGCGUGCUGCUGCAGUAUUUCUGAUGACCGCUAUGAACAGGAUGGACAUCCUCUGAAGCCUCAGCCAGCCAUGGAAGCAUGGCUUUUUCUGGGGAUGGUUGUGAGGAGCAGUGAGUGGAUGGAAAUGGCAGAAAAGAAAAGGGUGUUCUGCAGAAUUUGGGUUCAGUGGGUAACUGUCUUGCAACACCUUGGUGGAUAAAGUCAGGCUCAGCUCUCAGCUUGCUCCAGUCCCUGGGCAUACACUUGUCGCAAACAAAGCAGUGACAGGCUGAGCUGUUUUUCAGAGCUGGCUGGCACGGAGGACCCUAUGGGGGAUCCUAUGAGAAUUUGGUGAAUCAGCAUUGUGAGAGAGGUGGAGACCUCUGGAUGUCCAGGAGAGCCAGAGUAGAUCCCAUUUCUGGAGUCCGGCCACUUUGCAGGAGAUGUUGAGCAAAGAAGGGAGUAAAAGAACAUUUUGCUUCUGCUGAGGAGUUGCUCCACCUAGGAGUGAUGCUGCGUUUUUCACCAUGAUCAGACUCCCUCGCUGAGGUCACCACUGAAUUCCCCACCUUGCAGUUGAGCUACUGAGGAGCCAGUGCAAAGGGAAUGUCCUCUUGCAGCACCAUAGGCAGGGGCAGAAGUCUUCUCCUACCUCAGCCCAACCAUUGGAAGGUUUAGGGUCCACCUACAAAGCAACACAGAAGGUCCCUCUCUGGUGAGCAUGGACAUGAGUUUCCCCAGUUUGUGAAUGCAAGGCCAGUCACACCAAGAACUGAUGUCCUCUGAGUGAGGAUUCUGGGCAGACCCUUCACACUUGGCCUAAAGGUUCAGAUCAAUAUUUUAGGUCCAAUCCAGCAUGGAUUCAAUGAGGGUUUAACUUGCACUGCAUGAGCAAUCUCAUGACACUCCAGAUUAGAAUGCAUGAUGUUGAGGCACUCUUGUCCUUAAAGGUAGGGAAAAAGGAAAGUGAAAUUGUUUGGUGGCACUGGACCUUCAGCUGUUGGUUCAGGCUGUCAUGUACUGGGUGUGUUCAGCACAGGGUGUCUGCUGAUGGCUUUUUUAUAGACAAAUGCGGUGACUCCAGGUUCAUUGCUAUUUAUACUGUAUUGAAAAAAAGGUUGGAUUUGGGUUUUAUCUGAUCACUCUGCUGCUCUUUCCUCUUUGAGGUGCCUUUCUAAUUUCCUACAAGUUGUGUCUUGUUCUAAAGAAAUUUUUGGUCCUCUGACAAAAGUGCUCAGCUGGACCAGGGAUUGAACAUGCACAGGGCAAAGCAGUUGGGACAUACUGAGGUCUGAACAACAUACAGGAUGGGAAGAAAUCCUGCCAUGCUGCCAGAGACAUCCCAUCAAAUACUCCAGAGAUCAUAGAAACGUAGAAUGGUUCGGGUUGGAAGGGACCUUAAAGACCAUCUUGUACCAACCCCCCUGCCCUGGACAGGGGCACCUUCCUCUAGACCAGGUUGCUCCAAGCUCUGUCCAACUUGGCCUUGAACAUCUGGUCUUGUUGGUCAGCAUCUGCUGACCAUUGCACUCGAGUAGAGCCAAAACUGGAACUAUUUACCAACUGCCCCCGAGUGUUGUUGGGUGGGAUCAGAGCCAGACAGAGGGGUGGGCACGGGAGCAUCCAACCCACCCAUAGGCAUUGUUUGGUGCUAAGCAACACAAAGUGAACUCAGGAGUUAAUAACCAUCCCUUCUGCUGGCAUCCAGGAGUGCUUCCUUGGGGAGGGACAGAGAAUGUUGAGGUACUUAUGGGAUCACUAGGGAUGAUGUUUGGCUCUUGUAACUUUACAUUCCCAGCUGGACAGCCAGUGGUACCUGCGUGUCUCAACUGUCUCUACAGUCAGCGUGAGACAAUGAGCACCUACAGAAACCAUUCAUCCCCAUCCUCUGAACACUCCCUAGGGAAUGAGAUUAAUUGCUCGCUGGAACUGCCUUAUUCUUCCAAUAAAACACAAAGAGAGCCUGUGUGUCUCUCUCAGUCUGCAUCUGAGAUGUUCACCUGCCCGAGGCUGGGUGGGAGACCUGUGAUCCAUGGAGAGACCUGUGAUCCACCAAGGGGAGACUUGUGAUCCACCAUCUGGGUAGUUGUGAUCCACCAGCAGAAUGGAAAAGGGGAAUGAUUCCAAGUCUUCGGAGAUUCAUUUCAAGGGAUGAAUAGAGAAGUAUGAGGGCUCUGGCGACACUUCGGGCUGGUUCUGGUGAGCCACACUGAGAGAAUUUAGCCCGAAACUAGUGCAGAGAGAGUUUGCUGAAUUGUUCAGGAGAGAGGAGAGUGUCUUACAGAGAUGACUCAGCUCCCUGAUCUCUGAGAAAUGGAUGCUGAGAAAAGACAUGUUUGUGGACAACUGGAGAUAGACACAAGGGAGGGACAUGGGCUAAACCCUGGCACCACCUUGGGAUAAGAUGAGAAAGAAUGAACAGAUCACGGAUGACCCUGUGUCUGACAUGAGGAGAUGCUGACCAAGCAUUGGAGCCACCAGGGUCUACAGGAGUGCCUCAGAGAAGAAUUGGGAAGAGAACCUGGUGGCGGCAAAAAGGAGCUUGGUCAGGUUCUGGGUGACAUGGCCCAGCGUGGCUGCCUCUCGCAGCAGGCACUGGGCACUGUCAGGGGUCCCAUCGGGGUCUCUGUCCCCAAAGUGAGAAAUCAGAUUUAAUUCUCCUGUAGCUUUUGGUAACUCUGAGCCUAAACAAUGAGGUUUUCCCAAGUAGAAUUACUCUUGACUUUAAUCAAAACUCAAUUUAGAUCCAGGUCAGAUAAUAAGUCAAAGCAGCUCAGGGAAGUCAGCAAGGAGUGUGAAUUCCUUCUGGAGCCUCUUGGAUUGCUGUCCAUAUCACAGCACCAAGCAUCAUUUGGUGAGGCUUCUGCUUGGAAGAGGCCUGGGACUAAGAGAAGCAGAGCAGCCGGAGUCACAAAUUAAGAGGGGAUUUAAUAGACAUUUUUCCCACCUUCUUAUUCUGUCUCCAGCGUGUCUUCAGUGGGCUGGGAAUCAAACCACGUGGCCACUGGAUUGAUGUGCUUGGGGGAAGAGCCACAGAAGGAGUGGGGUAGCCUGGCGCUGUGGGGAAGAACCGAAAUACCCAGCAGCUGCCAGAGCUGUGUGGGAGCCCGGGCAGGAACAGCCAGGGAGCUGCAGAGCAGGGCUGAGCUCCAUUCCCAGAGCUGCGUGGGGAAGGCUGAUGGCACCUGCCCACAUCCUCUGUGACUGCACAUGAUGCCACGUCUCCCUCAGUUUCAAGACCAGCAAAUUCACCCUUCCCUGCUUUUUCUCUUCAGGAGAAAGAAGGGGGAAAAAAACCCAACCGGGAGACCACAGAUUUCCAGGCUAGGCUGUGCUAAGGCGGCACAAGCUGUCAGCAGGCACGCCGGGAGCAGCCGGGAGGAGCUGGGGUGCCCUCUGCAAGCUGGAGAUCUCAUUGUCUGUGUGGCAGAGGACAAGAGGGAAGGAAUAUGAACCAAAAAUAGUCUUACAGUUUAAGAAGAAAGACUAUUCCUGUGACCUCUCACAGUUGUGUUGGGUUAACAGUUGGACUCGAUGAUCUUAGAGGUCUUUUCCAUCCUUUGCAGUUCUGUGAUUCCAUGGUUGUCUGGUUCUGUGCUGGGGGGGGGUCUGUGUUCCUCCACCAGUCCAGAGAAAGGUCCUCUCCAUUUUUCCAGGCAUGAUCUGUUAUUCCAGGCACAUCUACUCAGGCUGUCCUACCCAGCCCCUUCGCCCUCCUUUGAAAUCCUCACCAUGGGUACACUCCAGCAGCACCUGCAGCUGCAAACAUCUGGAUGGGGCUUUCCAAUGAGCCUGCUCUGAGGUCAGGGGAUUGCUCUGCUUUCUGAGGAACCCUGCUGCUUCUGCAGGACCCCUGGGCACAGUUGGCACAGGAGGGGAGAGCUGGGGUGGGCAGCUCUGAUCCUUCCAGAAGGGAACUCUGCAGUCCAUGGGGGUCUGGCCUUUAGCUUACAACAUUUAAAUGCCAAUGCUGGAAGGAAUUCCUGGCAGGUGGAGAAGACACCUUGUGCCUGGGGAGUGCUGCCUGCUCAGCAGGCCCCAGGAAAAGCUGGGUUUACAUUUUUGGUGUGUUGGGGGGCACAAGACCCCCUGUGUCAAUAUUUCUGGGUGAGAUUUAAUGGACUCAGGCUGAAUCCUGGGAACUUGUACAGCAGCAGGAUAACGAAAUGCCAGCUAUUCCUUGGUCUGGCUGCAUCCCACUUCCGAAUACUUUAAAGGCUUUGACCCAGCUGUUAACUCAGAAGUGGACACUGGUUCAUGUGGCUCAUCCAUCCCCUCCUGCCUAGCUGGGUGCCCAGCAGGGGCUGUGCUGAGGGCACGAUGUGGGUGUUGGUAGCAGAGCUGCUCAUGGCCGUCCCUGAGCAAGUUCCCAGUGCCAUCCAUCCCUCUCCAAAGGCUGGGUACCAGCAGAGCUGAAAAACCUCACCUGCAACAUCACCCCUAGGAGAUGCUGAGCUUCAGCCAAGCUACUUCCAUGUGGGACAGGAGACAGCAGAGCCCUCCCAGAGCCAGACCCCAUCCCAUGGGAUGCUACUGAUUCUCAUUCAACUUUCUGCGUCAGACAGUGGCCAAGGAAGCACUGGGGCAAUUUCUCCUGGAUUAAUCUGGGGACAGUGUGAUUGGGUUUUUGCCUGAUUUCCUCAGGGAUGUCCAAGUGUGGGCUGGUCCCAGAAUAAAGUGGAUUCUGUGCCAUCCUAGGGCUGAACGGGUUAAUUUUUGUGCUUCCCUCCCCAGCUCGAUGCGGACUCUGGCUGGGACAGAACAUCUGUCUGUUGCUAUGGCUGCAGUACACUUGAAGGGGAUGACUGGAUAAUUAUUGCAAACAUCCAUCCUGCCUGGUGUGCUCCCGGACCCUCCCUGCCCCAGCCAGGGCAGCGGCCGGUGCUCGGGCCCAGCUUCACUCGCAGGGACCCUACCGAGAGAUGGCACAGGAUCCCACCUGGCUGCUGCUGAGCAGGACCCUGCCAACUCAGCACAAACCAGGCUGCAGACCCCCGGGACUGCCACGCCAUCAGGGGCUUGGGAAGCAGCAAGGUCCUGGGUCACAGCGUGGACCCAAGGCUUUCCCUGGUUCUCCCCUAGGUAGGCUGCUGCUGCUGCCAGCACUGUUGCCUGCGUUCCCUUCCCUGCCUGCACACCCUGCCUGUGUUCCCCUGUUGUGCUCCCUGCCUGGGCUUCCUUCCUGCUCUCCCUGCCUGUGCUGUGCUGCCUGCAGCUCAGUGACUUGCUGGGUUCAGCUGUGCCCUCUGCUCACCCUGCAGCAGCCGGGCACUGUCCUGUGUGUGUGGCUGCGGUGCCAGUGCUGGAUCCUCAGUCUCCAGCAGAGCCUGCUGCCAGUUGCUGCCUGGUGAUCCAGACAGGAUCCCGGCCUCUCGUGGGGCCCACUGCCAGUCAGUACCUGGUGAUGCACCUAGGAUCCCCGGCCUCGCCUUGCAGCUGCAUGUGCUGGAACAUGGGAUGCCCUAACCCCACACCUCCCAGUAACACCUUCCCCUGCUCCUAGCAGUCAGCCUGCCCCAAAAUACCCAUAUCCCCUUUGUUCCUGGGGUUGCUGCUGUUCUUUUGCCUGCUGGCAUUUAACCCUGCCUGAGAUCUCACCCCAGGGGUGUUCAAAAAUCCAGAUCUUUCCCUGUGGAUUGUCCCUGUUUCAGCAAGUCCCACCUCUGAAUUAACAGAGCAAAAGAUAAUGCAGAAGUUCCCCCUCUGAGCAGCCACUGCUGUUCUGUUUAACUGGGAACUUCAAUGCAGCCAUUGUACAUUUUUUUCUGUUUAUCAACACGUGGUGGGUAAGAAGCCCAAGUGGAGCUGGGACCAGGAUGAGGGCAGACCUCCACAGCCACUGGUCAGCAAACAGCACCACAGCUGGGACCCUCUGCCACGUCCACUUUCGCUCCACAGGAAUCCAGGUAGGCUGUGCAGGACAAGGCUGCCUCUUGCUUUUCUCAUUACCUGUAACACUGUCAAUAAAAAAUAGUAUUUUCACACAGUGCUUUGGAUCUGAAGAGCAGCUAUCAAGCACUCACUGGUGUGGAGCAUUCUCAGAGGCUCUGUAGGUAGGGGAGGGAAGAUGAAGCCAGGUCAUGGGAGCAUAGAUAGGGAGGGAUGGAGCCAGGUUAUGAGACACUCCAUCAGGCAGUGCUGCCUCUUUAAAGUAGGAAGGAGGAUGGCGCAGAGAUGGAGAGAUCUGUGGGCUACUCCUGGGUCCUGUCUGAUCCUUAUCAUCCCAACAUUUUUGUGUAUGAUUCAACAAAGUCCUUAGCUUGCACAACUUA
Long non-coding RNA from Corvus hawaiiensis (hawaiian crow), 7586 nucleotides. RefSeq lists it as uncharacterized. The record is from RefSeq and is a predicted model, not a curated record. Lineage: Eukaryota; Metazoa; Chordata; Aves; Passeriformes; Corvidae. The transcript is spliced from 2 exons.